CCGGCUGUCCCCACUCGCUGUAGCUGCCAGUCUCCCCUGCUCUGUGGGUGCCGGGAGUUCGCUCGCUGUGUGACCCUCAGCAAGUGUGCGCACCUCUCUGAGCCUCAGCGGCCUGUAGCAAAAUGGAGGAGCUCGUACUGGUUGUGAGACAAACUAGGAGCGGCGCAGGGUAGCGCUUGAGAGAGAAGACUGCAGUUCUCGCUCUGCCACUGGAUAACUUUGGGAAACUAACUGUAAUGAUAAUACCACCUCAUAGGUUUGUUAUGAAGAUUAAGUGAGUUAAUAUUUGUAAAAUGUUUAGAACAGCGUCUGUUACGUGGCAAGCGUCCUUGGCAGCCAGGCGAAAAGGAUUUGCUGAGUCAGCUGCCGCUGAUGCAAAUGGGGCUGCCAGGGGCUGGUACGGGAGAGCCCCUGAUCCGCGGGAUGUUCUGCAACCCCGAUCCUCCCAGGUCAUUCCUUGGGUGCUUCCCACACCCUGUGUGGAGUUCAAGACCAGGUUUAUUCAUGUGCCCAUUGCACAGGUGAGGAGACUGAGGCACGCCAAGGUUAACGCCACUUAUUUGAGGUCACACCAAAGGAGGAAUUGGGUAGCAAAUGGAAGGUGUGAGACCUGGACCUCUUAACCUCCAGAUACCACCAUGCAGCAAUUUGGAGCCAAAAGAAAGCACAGAGCUCACCUCCUGAGUGAGCGGCCACGGCCCAGUCAGCAUCCGGCUGUGCCCACUUCCCCCACCCCCAGCCCCACCUGGAUGCCACCUGGCAGUCACAUGUACAUUCAUCACGGAGGAGCCGGCUGACUCACCGAAUUAUACUGGAGAUGACUCACAUUUUAGAAAAUGGAAAGUGAGAACUUGAAAGCCUGGAGAAGCCCUCCCUUCUUUACUGAGGCUUGGAAUCAAUGCCCCAAACCCAUGACAGUUUAGCUCUUAAGAAAGGGAAAGCACUGUGGGCUGUCUGGAGGCUAAUAUUCCUGGAUUCAGAGGGCAGUGGUUCAACUCCACUCUGGGUCAUUACAGGUUUGCUGGGUGACUUCAGGCAAGUCACUGUCCCUUUCUGAGCCUCAGUCUCUUCGGUUUCUUAAUGAAGAGAUUGCAACAGGUGACAUCCAAGGCCCUUCUAGCUCUGGGUUGAGAAGCCUUGUCAUAAUAAGUGCUAGACCUUUAUCCUGCUAGACUUCAGUUUCCUCAGUUAAAAAAAUGUGAUAAAAUAUACAUACCAUGAAAUUUACCAUUUUAACCAUUUUUAAGUGUAUAGUAGAUCAGUGGCAUUAAGUACAUUCACGUUUGUGCAUCCAUCACCACCAUCCAUUUCUGGAACUUUUUCAUCUUUCCAAACUGGAAGUCCUUACCCAUCAAGCAAUAACUCUCCACUCCCCCUCUCCCCAGCCCCUGGCAACCACCAUUCUACUUCUUGUCACUGAAAGAAAGUAGAAUGGAUUUGACUACUCUAGGUACCCCAUGUAAACUUCCCUCAUCCUUAAAACUGUGAUGAUGACAAUGACAACAAAACUGUGAUGACAGAGGCCAAGGGUUAUUAGGUCCUUCUCCCAGUGGGCAGUUGGCUCAGACUUGGAUUUAAGUUUCAGUUCUUCCUCUGUACCCUCAGGCAGGUUGCGUAACCUUUCUGCCCCUCUCACUGCCACAUCCCUGAGAUUGGCCUAAUGAGGCCAGCCUUGCAGAGCUGUUGCCAGGCUCAGGAGACAGUGUGUAGGGAGGUGUUUGGAAAGUCCAGUGCUCCUUCUAGGGCUUGUUAUAUAUGCCCUCUUCCUGGAAUGUUGGGACCGGGACCCUGGCUUAGGUUUGUAGGUGUGAGAGCUGGAAAGACAUUAGAAUUGUGCUUGUCAACCCAUUUCCAGGUGAGAAGACUGAGGCCUAGAGAGGUGGAUGUGACUUGCCUAAAGUCACAUAUGGAACUUUAAACAUUGUGUGCAUCCAUGCCUCUUGCACAGUGUCCUGCAUGUGGCAGGUGCCCAACAGAUGUUUGCUGCUGGCUGGAAGGUGGGGGCCAUGGCAUCGAGGGAGGGCCCUGACCAGCUGGGCUCUGGAGCCCUCCCCUCAAGCAGCUGGCAUUCCAGCCUGUGUACCCAGUAUUGGAAAGUGGCUUAUGGAAGGUGCUGGGGCACUAGUCUUCUAUCUUAGGUGUUCUUUUUAUUGGUUCCCAGAGGCCUGGCAUUGUGGCUGAGAGUCCCAUCUCUCUUAUUUCCUUAGAGUAAUGAUUCCUAGGAAUUUUCUGGUUGCCAGUGUCAAUAUAUUUAAACCAAUUUCAGCCAAUAAAGGAGACUUUAUUAAAGGCUACAGGGGCAUCCCGCAAACAGUGGCAGGGUGCAGUCAGAUGCUGACUAAGCUUGGAACUUGGAUGGUAGACUGCACGUUCUGUUCCACAUGGUAGACUGUAACCACUGCACAAUGCCAGAAUUUACCUGGGACCACUUCAAGGCUGACUUGACUCUCUCCUGGUCUUGAUUCCAAGUUUCUAGACGAGAGAAGCGGAUCGGCCCAGUAUGGGUGAGAUGUUCGUCCUGGGUCCUAUUGGCUGUGGUUAGGCAGUGGGGUCACAGAGAACAAACAAGGCUGGCGGGGCUCACGUCUGUGUGAGGGUGGGGCGGAGGAAGGGAGUCCACCAGGGAGUCACACAGGCAAACACAUGCAUCCGUUAAAAAUGUGGAACAGAUAUGUAUGUUUAUUAACAUGGAAAGAAAGUCAAGAUAUUUUUGAAUGGAAAAAAUAGGUUACAAAAUAGUAUGUUUAUCACAUUUUUAAAAAGUAAAUAUGCAUAUGUAAUAUAAUUGAAUUUCCAUACAUAGGUGCUAAAUGUUAAUUGAAAUUAGAGGUAGUAGAAUUAGGGGUAAUUUUUCAUUUCUUCUUUUGUAAUACCUGCAUUUUUCUGAUUUUUCUCUAAUGAAUGAGUGUCA
This is a long non-coding RNA of Hippopotamus amphibius kiboko, 2911 nucleotides long. RefSeq lists it as uncharacterized. The transcript has 3 exons. Lineage: Eukaryota; Metazoa; Chordata; Mammalia; Artiodactyla; Hippopotamidae. The record is from RefSeq and is a predicted model, not a curated record.